UAAACGUAGUGACAAAUAAAUUUCAAUAAAUAUUUAGAGCUGUUUCAACUUCGUCUGGUAUUGUAUAAGCUAUUGCAUUUUGUUUAUUUCCCCAUGUUUCUAAUCUUUGUAAAUGUUAGAACAUAUAUAACUAUCCUGGCAUAUUAAUAUGGAAAAUAUUAAGGUAGAUCUAAGUAUUAAAAAAAAUCACAGUUUUAAUUAGGAUAAAUACCCCAAAGUGUUAACACUUUUAUCACUUAUUGGUGGGCCAAUUCAUAAUUCAUAUUCAACAUUCUUGCUUCAAAUAUGGGAACUAUUUAUUUUAUUUGGCAAUAUAUAUUUUUCAUUUAUGUACAUAUUUUUCAAAUAAGGUUUUAGAAACUUGGCCAUGAUAUUCACUUGAAUCACUAGUUUGAGUGUACAGCAGAAAGGUUAAGUUACUGCUUUUGAAAAACUACAGUUGAUCUGUUGACUGAUAAAACUAUUUGCCAAUAUUACUAUCAGUUACAUCAUACUCUAUUAGUCUAAGUAAAUGGGAUUUAUCUAUACAGUACUGGUUUAUUUAAGAAUGUGAUACUUUGUGGUUUCUGUUUUUCUUUCAGGUGGAGAAAACAGUAUUGUGGGAGCGUAUUUGUUUAAAGUACAUAUCACUGACAGAAAGUUACCAAGGCAUAAGGAGAGACUGAGGAUACAGUUGAAGAUCAUCCCUGUGACUUUUCAUUUGAGGACUGAAAAGGCUCCCCAGCAACUCAGCCCAUGUUCUGACUUGUCAUUUAACAAAUAAAUAAAGGUCACCUCAA
Haliotis rufescens (red abalone) is the source of this 779-nucleotide long non-coding RNA. RefSeq lists it as uncharacterized. The transcript is spliced from 2 exons. NCBI's taxonomy places the organism in Eukaryota, Metazoa, Mollusca, Gastropoda, Lepetellida, Haliotidae. The record is from RefSeq and is a predicted model, not a curated record.